UCCCUUCCCCCACAUUCCUCCAGACAGCCAAUGCACAAUCCCAAAUUUAGGGUGGCAGGAGAGCUCAUACUGACUCCAAAAUCCAAUGGGGUGGGGAUGGAAAGAGAGAGAAGAUACCUGCCAAGGCUAGCCUAACAGGUUCUCCUAAGUCCCUCCCUUUGGCCUCAGACAAAGUGGGAAGAGAGAGAGAGAGAGAACUGGGAGAUGUGAGAGGAAGCACUUGGGAAAGGAAAAGAGGAACAACACCUGGAGCAAAGGGAAAGAGGUACCUGAAAGAUGUGAGCAAGAUGGAGACUGGAAACUGCCACUUAGUUUUGGUUUCCAAGAAGAGGAGUGAGCUGAGCACAAACCCAAGAGAAAGGAACUGAUAGCAACUAUGAUGAACUUUUAAGGGGAGAGAGAAACUACAAUUCAGAACCAAGAAAAUAUCCAGGAAUUGGGAAAUAAAACCACCUUGUUCUAGAUUGAGAGAGUCAAUUGCUUGGGGCCAGUGGCAAGAGCAGGGAUUUCUGGUUGAAGGUGAGAGAAAGCACCAAACUAUGACCCAGGAAACUAGGGUGUCAACAAGAAAUCUUCCUAAGGCUUUGAUUGAAGGUUGCAAUCUAUGGGAAUCAGGAAUUAGGGUUUCAGGGCAGAAAUCUCUUCUUUUGAAGGUGGGCCUAGACUUAUGAUUACAAUUGAGACUGGAAUUAAUGCUGUAAGUCAUGUUGCAAAGCGAGUCAUCAGAUGAUUGAACCAAUUUUAUAAUCAUUUUUUACUGUGGCUAUUAAACAAAUCCAGCUUUCACAAUUGAAGUUUUUUGUCGAAAUUGGAAAGGUCUUGAAUAGUGAUCAUAUGACUGCAAGACACUGCAAUUGGUCAUAAAAGUGAGAUGGUUGCCAAGCAUCUGAAUUGCAAUCAUGUGGUGUGAUGGUGUUAAGUGCAAGAGCAAGUUGUAAAUAAUUUUUUCCAGGGCUAUUUUACUUUGAAUUAUUGUUAAAUGAAUGGUCAUAAGUCAAGGACUAGCUGUAAUUGUUCUAAAGAAUUGAAAAAAAUAAAAUAAAAACAGCUUAGUGUUUUUUUUGUUAUAUUUCAAAAUUUGGCCAUAAAAUUAAAAAUUACAUUGGAAGUGUGGAUGCUUUUAUUUAGCAGACAAAACUAUAUAACCUCACAUUUUGUUCUCAGGGUAGCAAAGUAGAACUGGUUUGUUUAGUCAGGACUGUUGCAUAAUGAAACUUUUUCCAACAGGCUGCGAUAAUAGACUUGUUAAAAGUGUUGUAAAAACUAAACAAUGCUUUGUUUCACAAGUACUUCCCUAAAAAUAUCCAAUUAGAGGUAGUCCUUGACUUAUGAUUGAGCCCAAAAUUUCUGUUGCUAAGUGAGACAUUUGUUAACUGAGUUUGCUCCAUUUUAUGACCUUUCUUGCCACAGUUGUUAAGUGAAUCACUGUGGUUGUUAAGUUAGUAACACUGUGGUUAAGUGAAUCUGUCCUCCCCAUUGAUUUUGCUUGUCAGAAGGUUGCAAAAGGUGAUCAAAUGACCCUGGGACACUGCAACCAUCAUAAAUAUGAUGGUUUGCCAAGAUCAAUUGCCAAGGAUCCAAAUUUGAUCAUUUGACCAUGGGGAUGCUGUAACGGUUGUAAGUGUGAAAAAUGGUCAUAAGUCACUGUUUUCAGUGCCGUUUAACUUCAAACAGUCGCUAAUCAAACUGUUGUAAUUCGAGGGCUACCUGUAUUUCAUUUUUUGUCUUUGAUGUGGUACGUUUUUGUCACUGUCAGAUUCUACCUGUUUUACUACAGGUAAAUUACAGGUUGAUCUCUGCAUCUGCUUUACUAAUAAGUUCUGAUGAAUUCCUGU
Long non-coding RNA from Pantherophis guttatus, 1835 nucleotides. RefSeq lists it as uncharacterized. The record is from RefSeq and is a predicted model, not a curated record. NCBI's taxonomy places the organism in Eukaryota, Metazoa, Chordata, Lepidosauria, Squamata, Colubridae.